Capsicum annuum is the source of this 564-nucleotide long non-coding RNA. RefSeq lists it as uncharacterized. The record is from RefSeq and is a predicted model, not a curated record. Lineage: Eukaryota; Viridiplantae; Streptophyta; Magnoliopsida; Solanales; Solanaceae. The transcript has 3 exons.
UAAGGUAAUCCCUUUCCCUCUUUUCCUCCAUCUCUUCUCUGUCAAAAUCAAACAAAAACAACCAAAAAGAAAGUUGUUUUGUUUUUACCUUCAGAGGCUCCUUGGGUUUUGGCUAGGAAGCACUGCAAUUUCUUCCAGGCAAAAUUGAAUCACAGGUCAAAACUCCUAUACUCUUCUUGCUAGGUCCCAAGGACCAACGUGUACCAAUAUGUACAGUCUUGAAAGUAAGAUUUAAUAUAAUCUUCCUGUGUGCUUUUUUAUUAUAUAGAAAGGAUGGUUUUGACAUGUGUGCUUACAUGUCCAAAAAAAUUUGUAUUAAAGGUAUUUUGGUCAUCUGACACAGAAGAAAAGUUGAGAUAUAUUUAUAAGUUUAUUAUUUACACAAAAUUCAUAUACCAUAUUUACACAAAGAUCUUUACUCCAUCACCAUCACUCCUCCUCCGUCACAAAGAAAAAAAGGAAGAGAAGAGGAAAUCUAGAGAGAGAAAGAAAAUAAGAUGAAGAUGGGACAAAGAAAUUUGAAGAGAGAAAGAAGAAAAGAAGAAAGAUUUAAAAGAUAAAGAA